Molecule: small nuclear RNA, 23 nt
Filed under: Arabidopsis thaliana (thale cress)
Lineage: Eukaryota; Viridiplantae; Streptophyta; Magnoliopsida; Brassicales; Brassicaceae
Description: snRNA_13814
Source: RNAcentral
ACAAUAGUGUGGCUUUCACUUGU